UACGGAGGUGGCGAGCGUUGUUCGGAAUCACUGGGCGUAAAGGGCGCGUAGGCGGGGUCGGAAGUCGGGUGUGAAAGCCCCGGGCUCAACCCGGGAACGGCGCCCGAGACUCUGGCUCUUGAGUCCCGGAGAGGCGGGUGGAAUUCCUGGUGUAGCGGUGAAAUGUGUAGAGAUCAGGAGGAACACCGGUGUCGUAGGCGGCCCGCUGGACGGAGACUGACGCUGAGGCGCGAAAGCGUGGGGAGCAAACGGG
This 253-nucleotide ribosomal RNA is filed under the name uncultured bacterium. Its description in RNAcentral is "partial 16S ribosomal RNA". It matches the Rfam family "Bacterial small subunit ribosomal RNA", at positions 524 to 776 of the family's 1533-position model. The record is from RNAcentral.